UGGCGGCGUGCCUAAUACAUGCAAGUCGAACGGUCUUUCUAUGGAAGCUUGCUUCCACUGAGAAGAUAGUGGCGAACGGGUGAGUAACACGUGGGUAACCUGCCCAUAAGAGGGGGGAUAACAUCCGGAAACGGGUGCUAAUACCGCAUAGUUUUCUUGAUCGCAUGAUCGGGAAAGGAAAGACGGCCUUUGUGCUGUCGCUUAUGGAUGGACCCGCGGCGUAUUAGUUAGUUGGUGAGGUAACGGCUCACCAAGACGAUGAUACGUAGCCGACCUGAGAGGGUGAUCGGCCACAUUGGGACUGAGACACGGCCCAAACUCCUACGGGAGGCAGCAGUAGGGAAUCUUCCGCAAUGGACGAAAGUCUGACGGAGCAACGCCGCGUGAGUGAAGAAAAGGUUUUCGGAUCGUAAAACUCUGUUGUCAGAGAAGAACAAGUUGGAGAGUAACUGCUCCAGCCUUGACGGUAUCUGACCAGAAAGCCACGGCUAACUACGUGCCAGCCGCCGC
RNAcentral lists this ribosomal RNA (510 nucleotides) under uncultured bacterium. RNAcentral's name for it is "bacterial SSU rRNA". It matches the Rfam family "Bacterial small subunit ribosomal RNA", at positions 37 to 518 of the family's 1533-position model. The record is from RNAcentral.